UCUCCGUAGGUGAACCUGCGGAGGGAUCAUUACAGAGUUCAUGCCCUACCGGGUAGAUCUCCCACCCUAUGUUAUUAUUACUUUGUUGCUUUGGCGGGCCGUUAGACUCCGGCCCGACUACCGGCCCCGGCUGGUAAGCGCCCGCCAGAGGACCCAAAACCCUGAAUAUUAGUGUCGUCUGAGUACUAUAUAAUAGUUAAAACUUUCAACAACGGAUCUCUUGGUUCUG
Molecule: unclassified non-coding RNA, 229 nt
Filed under: plant metagenome
Description: partial contains small subunit ribosomal RNA, internal transcribed spacer 1, and 5.8S ribosomal RNA
Source: RNAcentral